CAUGUUUGCAUGUAAGAAAUUUGCUCCUCUGGGACGAAAUCACAGAUGCACAAAUGCUCAAAGUGUUCCCACUUCUCCCAAGAGGGACGGCUUACACUUCCAGAAGACAUCCCCAGGGAAGUGAUAUGCAUUUUACAAACAGAAAAAAAGAAAGUAAACAUCACUUAUCUGGAGGACUGGUUGAAGUUGUUUUCAUUUGAAUUGGAAUUCUGACCAAUGUAGAGCACGUUAAUUAAAGAUGCAUUAAGAGAAAAGAAGGAAAGAAGAAAGAAAGAAAGAAAGAAGAAAAGAAAAGAAGAAAAGAAAAGAGAAAGGAAACUGACCAUGACAUAUAUUUGUGUGAAUCUUAACACAACUUCUGCAACCUACAGGUAGCAAAGGAGCAGUCUGAGAUGGGGAGAAAUGGAGAAUUCAAGACCGGUAUGCUGUAAGUCAUGGAAAUCAUAGAACUGAUAAAGCUCAGCAGAAGAGGGAAACCAGAAUUUGGGCUCCCGCUGUGUUACAUUAG
Molecule: long non-coding RNA, 508 nt
Organism: Nyctereutes procyonoides (raccoon dog)
Lineage: Eukaryota; Metazoa; Chordata; Mammalia; Carnivora; Canidae
Exons: 4
Source: RefSeq, a predicted model, not a curated record